Molecule: long non-coding RNA, 1104 nt
Filed under: Ficedula albicollis (Collared flycatcher)
Lineage: Eukaryota; Metazoa; Chordata; Aves; Passeriformes; Muscicapidae
Description: lncRNA (ENSFALG00000024219.1)
Source: RNAcentral
GCAGGACCAGCUCCCUCAGCCUGUCCUCCUAGGAGAGAUGCUCCAGUCCCUAAAUAUAGAGAGAAUACAGUAAGAUUAUUAACAGGAUCGCAUGUGCAGCAGGACUGCCUUGAACUGCUCUCACUGCACCAGCUCCAUGAAUUAAAAAGCACACGAACAUCUGUACCCGGAGCAAAGCUGUCCUUGCUUGUGUGCAGGAGGCGCUUCCCGAGCUGCGGGUUUUCCCCGGACCCAGGAGGAGCUGCGGGUUCUCCCCAGACCCAGGAGCAGCUGCGGGCUCUCCCCAGACCCAGGAGCAGCUGCGGGCUCUCCCCAGACCCAGGAGCAGCUGCGGGCUCUCCCCAGACCCAGGAGCAGCUGCGGGCUCUCCCCAGACCCAGGAGCAGCUGCGGGCUCUCCCCAGACCCAGGAGCAGCUGCGGGCUCUCCCCAGACCCAGGAGCAGCUGCGGGCUCUCCCCAGACCCAGGAGCAGCUGCGGGCUCUCCCCAGACCCAGGAGCAGCUGCGGGCUCUCCCCAGACCCAGGAGCAGCUGCGGGCUCUCCCCAGACCCAGGAGCAGCUGCGGGCUCUCCCCAGACCCAGGAGCAGCUGCGGGCUCUCCCCAGACCCAGGAGCAGCUGCGGGCUCUCCCCAGACCCAGGAGCAGCUGCGGGCUCUCCCCAGACCCAGGAGCAGCUGCGGGCUCUCCCCAGACCCAGGAGCAGCUGCGGGUUUUCCCCAGACCCAGGAGGAGCUGCGGGCUCUCCCCAGACCCAGGAGCAGCUGCGGGUUUUCCCCAGACCCAGGAGGAGCUGCGGGCUCUCCCCAGACCCAGGAGGAGCCGCGGGCUCUCCCCGGACCCAGGAGGAGCUGCGGGCUCUCCCCGGACCCAGGAGCAGCUGCGGGCUCUCCCGAGGUGCGGCUGCCGCCAGAUGGAGCCGCCGGGCAGCGGGACCGGGGCGGAAAAACCCAUCCCAGGGAGCCCCGAAACAGCGCCGGGAUCCAGCGCCAACACACCCGAGAGCUGUGCUGAUACUCGAGCAUGGGUGAGCGCUCACCCAGGAGAGAACAGGCAUAAUUCCAUCAGGUCCUGGCUGCGAACCGCGGGCACAAUCGUAUCUUAA